GAUGAACGCUGGCGGCAUGCCUAAUACAUGCAAGUCGAGCGAACAGACGAGGAGCUUGCUCCUCUGACGUUAUCGGCGGUCGGGUGAGUCACACGUGGUUAACCUACCUCUCCGACUGGGAUAACUUCGGGAAACCGUAGCUAAUACCGGAUAAUAUAUUGACCCUCAUGGUUCCAUCGUUAAAUACGGUUUUGCUGUCACUUAUAGCUUGAUCCGCGCCGCAUUAGCUAGUUGGUAAGGUAACGGCUUACCAAGGCAACGAUGCGUAGACGACCUGAGCGGGUGAUCGGCCACACGGGAACUGAGACAGGGUCGAGACACCUACGGGAGGCAGCAGUAGGGAAUCUUCCGCAAGGGGCGAAUGCCUGACGGAGCAAAGUCGCGGGAGGGAUGAAGGUCUUAGGAUCGUAAAACGCUGUUAUUAGGGAAGAACAAAUGUGUAAGUAACUAGGAACGUAUUGACGGUACCUAAUCAGAAAGCCACGGCUAACUACGUG
This 497-nucleotide ribosomal RNA is filed under the name uncultured bacterium. Its description in RNAcentral is "partial 16S ribosomal RNA". It matches the Rfam family "Bacterial small subunit ribosomal RNA", at positions 28 to 507 of the family's 1533-position model. The record is from RNAcentral.